This is a long non-coding RNA of Amphibalanus amphitrite, 1286 nucleotides long. RefSeq lists it as uncharacterized. The transcript has 5 exons. Lineage: Eukaryota; Metazoa; Arthropoda; Thecostraca; Balanomorpha; Balanidae. The record is from RefSeq and is a predicted model, not a curated record.
CGCUUUUUUCAUCGAGUUUGAGUGCUGUUGGGGCGAAUAAUCUCGGAGAUGAGUUAGUCUUACAUCUAAGGAGCAAAUAUGCCUUUUUGUUUUGUGCCUCAAUGCAGUCAUUCCAGCGCCAGGUCCCAGUCCAAGUGCUCCUUCUUCCGAUUGCCCCGGGACGAGGGGGAGUUGAAGAAAUGGACUACACUGAUGAGGAGACAAGAUGCAAAGCCCAAUGAGCAUUCAAGAGUGUGCUCUUGUCAUUUUAGGAAUGGCAAGAAAGAAGCUGGUCCAACCCUAUUUGCUUGGAAUGACUUCAAGAGAAGGUUAUCGGCCGUCGUCCAAACGGUGCGCGCGGGCCCUCAUCUUGUCCGACGGCGCGCCCACUUCGCGACUGGCUCCGACCUCGCUUGGCGUUGGUACAAGAGCUGCCGGGAGUCGCCCUGCGUCCUCGUCGGGGAGCCUAGAUUCCGGGCGGGCCGACUCCAACGUUUCCACACGAUAUCGCUUUGAUAGCCAGAACGGCCUACGACGUUCCACGGCGCACGCCCACCCGGAGCUGGCGGCCGCCCUGCCGUGACGGUCGCACGCCGCUGUACCUGGCCGUACUGCAGGGCUGGCGGCCGCCCUGCCGUGACGGUCGCACGCCGCUGCACCCGGCCGUACUGCAACCCACCCGGAGCUGGUGUCGCAGAUGCCAAGCUGCGAGAUGACGGGGGUUAUCGGCCGUCGUCCAAACGGUGCGCGCGGGCCCUCAUCUUGUCCGACGGCGCGCCCACUUCGCGACUGGCUCCGACCUCGCUUGGCGUUGGUACAAGAGCUGCCGGGAGUCGCCCUGCGUCCUCGGCGGGGAGCCGAGAUUCCGGGCGGGCCGACUCCAACGUUUCCACACGAUAUCGCUUUGAUAGCCAGGUUUCUUUCAAUGAUUAUUUCUGUAAUCGGUCACGAGGCGAAUCCUCGUUGAGCCUAAUUUGUUCUCCAGUCUGCCAAGUCUGGUUUGCUUUGUUGAUGACUUUGUGGUGUGAACGUGCCAAACCACAUGCUGUACUAUUAAAGGGUGUCAAAUAAAAAAAACGAGUUAUGCUUAACAGCUAUAUAAACUACGCCUGGAGUUUGCUCUGAUAUGAAUUGCAUUUUAUCAUUAUGACCUAACCAAAUAACUUGAGUGGUGUAGUUGGAAAGUACUUAACAUAAUACGUGGCCGCUGGCUUCGUUCCCCACGCUCGACGGCUCGCCGUUUUCAAUGUUCGUCUGCGCACUGUACAUCUGCAGCCCAGUAAUCAAUAAAUGGCACAGGUACUCGC